UUCGGGGGAUUAUUUUUUCCAUCCAAAUGUUGGCCGAUAGAAUUGCACCAUGAGACAUAAUUUUCAACGAAUUGCCAUUUAAUCUGUCAGAUACAAUUGAGGGUUACUUCAUCAUUUGUUUUUUUUUAUAUAGGCAACAUGCAAAAUUUCCAGUGAAAUUUCCAAGAAUUUCCGCUGAAAUACCGUGUUGGCUAUACAAAAUAACGUCGAAUGGUGCAAUCGUAAAAAAUCCGAACCGACAAUCAACCUAGAAUCUGAGAAUUGUCACCGAGAGCAUCUUCAGCAGUGAUGGUCAUGAACUGUCAUGAAUUGUAAUCGAGCACCUCCAGCAGCAGGAGGCAUCAACUUCCUCGUACCUCAAAUCUCGAUGUAAAUAACCCCGUUGUAACAUUCCUUCCUGAAUUCAGCAGUGAAGUGCUAAAACGAGAUAAGUUGACUUAGCUCUCAGUCUAGUUUUUGAUGGUUAUCUCCGAAUUUAAGAGAGAUACGUGAAUUAUCGUCAAGACAUUUUUUGUAGCUCUCCAUUCGCUCCACAAAAAAGGUCUGAAUAACAAUUUUGCUACCUCCCCUAGAUUUCAAGAUAUUCAUCAAAAACAGGACCAUAGUCGAAAGUAACUUAUCUUGUUUUACCACUUCGUUACUGAAUUAUCGUAUCGCGUCCGGGUCUCUACGCUUCGCCACCCUGAGAGGUCAACCAAGUCCUCUACCCCCCUUCGCUCUGAGAUUCUCUCGAACAACAAAUGGAAACACAAGAGAAAAAAUGAAGAGCGAAUGAGACAAAAACAAGAGGAAAAGUGACAGAUACGACAGGUGGGAGUAUGUGUAACACGAUGGACGACGCCAUCUGGAUUAUAUUCGAAGGAGAGAGACCAUCUGAAAACCCUCGGUAAAAUAUAUCUGAACAAGGAAACAUCAAUUGACGGUGACUCACCUUUUAUUGAAGGGGCGAACCCUAACGGCCACCUUCACCGAAGCCAUAACUCUCGAAACAAAACAAAGAACAAAUGACCAACGAAACAAUCACCAACACUCAACUCUUGUUUUAUUCACAAAAUUUAACACUCCUGUUAUGCGUUAAGUGAUCCAUCGUAAUCCUGAAUUAUUGUCUUCGGGGUUAUUCUCGUAAAAUGGUAGUUUGCACAGCCACACAACUCCAUUAUCAGACGCACUUUCCUGCCCCUCAAUGUUACGCUUGAGACACUGGCGCACUGACUGGCGACUGAAUAUUUAGAACUUGUGUGAGAGGGUCAGUUGAUGGUUGGCCACGAUGAUAGGGCGGUGGGGGGUGAUAAGAGGAAUUUUCAAACUGUGCAUUUCAGACAUAGAGGACAGACUGAAGUAGAGGCUCAGCUCCCGGAGGUCAGGUGACCCCACGCCAACAGUAGUAAUGAUCCCCACGAGAGAGGCGUCGCCGUCGAUUUUGGCAGUGGCUCAGGCGCCCGAAAGUUCCCUCACUAAUUGAAACAUUAUAUCUCCCUUCCUAAUGAAUAUUAAAGAAUGAAACCAACGUCACUUGGGGGGGAAUUAAAUUCUACGCAUUCCGACCAAGUUUCAUCCCUUAAUCUUGAUAAGUGAAAAUGAAAAACCACGAGGAAAGUCGGUGAGUGACGACAACCACAAUGGAAUCUCGGCGCAGAGGUGCUCAAAAAUUUCUCCGCUCGUUAAAAAAUUGUAUCUUCCUUCCUAAUCAAUAUUAAGGAAUGAAAGUGAUGCUGUUUGAAGAAGAAUUGAAUUCUCCCCAAUUGGGCAAAAUUUCAUCCCUUAAUCUCAAUAAAUAAAUAUUAAAAACUGGGAGGAAAGCCGAAGAGGAGCAGUAAACCCAAUGGAAUCUUGGCGCAGGUACCACGCUUUGAUUAAAUUACUCUCAAACCCAGAAAGUGUCGAAUCAAUCGUUAUCAGAUUUUAUACACAAGUAUGAGUCAAUGACAAUAUCCAACAUCCAAAAUUUAAUAUUUUUAGCUUAAUAUUUACGCUUUUCGACCACAUUUACAUUGAAAAUCUAUAAAAAAGGACAAUUGCUUGAAUAUCCAAAUCCCCCUGGGGGAGUCGAUCGAUAUUUCUAUUGAUUUCGAUAGAGAAUACCACGACGAAUAAUUAAAGAAGAAUGAAAUUCGAUUAGUCAUAGUAACGAUCAUGAGGAAAUGAUUAAAAAUAAAUAAACAUGCAAAAUUAUCGAUAAUUCUAAUUCGAUGAAACGUUUAAAUCAUAAAACACAAAACCCGAUUCUGUAAACUUCAUUCUGCAAGUCGAAUCCUAAAAACGUAAACGAUCUUCGGAAUUUACAUCGUUAGAACAGUUGCAGCGUACCUCGGUGCACAGGCAAAAAACUUUCGAGAAAAAUACCGUCUUGGAUUUGCAGAGUUAAAGCAGUCCAUUAUAAUUUAGCUCAGUCUUUAGGCCACUUAGGAAUCACCAGCUGUGGGGAUUGCCCGUGUGGUUCUUCUGAAGAUAUCAAUCACGUCCUCUGGCAGUGUCCGUUAUAUAUUUCCCAUAGGAAAACUACGACGAGGAGAUUGAGAGCUUGUGGCUUCUGCCCCCCGUACCCCACCAACUUCUUUUCAAAUUUAGUCGAUCCACAAUCUGUUCGUGCAAUAGAUGAUUUCCUGGAUAACGUUAAUCUCAGAACUUAAAAAACUAGGGCACUAUCAGCAACUUUACAACACUUUCCUUCUUGUCUAUUGUUGCCAAAUUUGGUCUCACAUUUAUGUAAUUUAGCAGAAUGAAUCCGAAGGUUCGAAUGCUUCGAAAUAAAAAAAAGCAGUUGCACUAGACCUUGUGAUCUUCCAUUGAAACCAAAAACUGAAAUUUCCUCAUUCCAAUGCAACGAAAAACUUGGACUUUUCAAUGGGGUGAGAAUCCACUGCAUAAUCAGAAAGUCUCGUAAAGUCUUGUAAAAAAAUACAAGAUGUGGAACGCUGCAUAAGUUGAUGGAUAAUGUUGGUAGAACUCUCAACACGAAUCUGAAGACCACACUGGACAUAAUAUGACAUCUCCACAGCUUCGUAUGAAGUUCUCGGUGGUGUCUGAUUCGUUGGAGAAAUUUUCAGAAUUUCUUACAAUUUUUUGAAGAAACAUCUCCAACUGGGUUGUAACAUUUUACUGCAAAUACACGGAAACAAAUAUAAAAAAACAUGACAGACUGAAGAAUAUUUAAUCAUUCACAUUAUACAUAAAUUCUCCAUUUUCUCAGUCAUUUCUUCAAAACAUAAUAUUUGCAUCGUUUCUAUGCCAAAAUCAAUAUGGAUACAAAUACAAAGGAAUUCCGGUGGACAUCUUUGAUGAUUAAUUUCAUCUCAGAAAACAUUCCGGCAGAUGGGACACGUCGGUUUUUGGCUCGUGGUGAACCAUUUGUAC
This is a long non-coding RNA of Diachasmimorpha longicaudata, 3354 nucleotides long. RefSeq lists it as uncharacterized. The transcript has 2 exons. Lineage: Eukaryota; Metazoa; Arthropoda; Insecta; Hymenoptera; Braconidae. The record is from RefSeq and is a predicted model, not a curated record.